CAGCCGCCACGGGAAUACGUAGGUGGCAAGCGUUGUCCGGAAUUAUUGGGCGUAAAGGGCUCGCAGGCGGUUUCUUAAGUCUGAUGUGAAAGCCCCCGGCUCAACCGUGGAGGGUCAUUGGAAACUGGGAAACUUGAGUGCAGAAGAGGAGAGUGGAAUUCCACGUGUAGCGGUGAAAUGCGUAGAGAUGUGGAGGAACACCAGUGGCGAAGGCGACUCUCUGGUCUGUAACUGACGCUGAGGAGCGAAAGCGUGGGGAGCGAACAGGAUUAGAUACCCGGGUAGUCCCUGUCUCUUAUAC
RNAcentral lists this ribosomal RNA (301 nucleotides) under uncultured bacterium. RNAcentral's name for it is "partial 16S ribosomal RNA". It matches the Rfam family "Bacterial small subunit ribosomal RNA", at positions 509 to 807 of the family's 1533-position model. The record is from RNAcentral.